Molecule: ribosomal RNA, 447 nt
Filed under: uncultured bacterium
Lineage: Bacteria
Description: bacterial SSU rRNA
Rfam family: Bacterial small subunit ribosomal RNA
Source: RNAcentral
UGGGGAAUUUUGGGCAAUGGGCGAAAGCCUGACCCAGCAACGCCGCGUGAAGGAUGAAGUAUUUCGGUAUGUAAACUUCGUAAGAAUAGGAAGAAUAAAUGACGGUACUAUUUGUAAGGUCCGGCUAACUACGUGCCAGCAGCCGCGGUAAUACGUAGGGACCAAGCGUUGUUCGGAUUUACUGGGCGUAAAGGGCGCGUAGGCGGUGUGUCAAGUCAGUUGUGAAAUCUCCGAGCUUAACUCGGAACGGUCAACUGAUACUGUCACACUAGAGUACAGAAGGGGCAAUCGGAAUUCUUGGUGUAGCGGUGAAAUGCGUAGAUAUCAAGAGGAACACCUGAGGCGAAGGCGGGUUGCUGGGCUGAUACUGACGCUGAGGCGCGAAAGCUAGGGUAGCAAACGGGAUUAGAUACCCACGUAGUCCCUGAGCGGGCUGGCAAGGCGCAU